RNAcentral lists this ribosomal RNA (519 nucleotides) under uncultured bacterium. RNAcentral describes it as "bacterial SSU rRNA". It matches the Rfam family "Bacterial small subunit ribosomal RNA", at positions 1 to 525 of the family's 1533-position model. The record is from RNAcentral.
UAGAGUUUGAUCAUGGCUCAGGACGACCCUUUACGGCGUGCCUAACACAUGCAAGUCAACUUGACUGAAGGAGUAAUCUGACAGUAGAGUGGCGCAAGGGUGCGUAACGCGUAAGUAACUUGCCCCAAGGUAAGGAAUAACGUCGAGAAAUCGGCGCUAAUACCUCAUAAUGCAGCGGAUCCGCAUGGAUAUGUUGUUAAAGGUUUACCGCCUUGGGAUAGGCUUGCGUCUGAUUAGUUAGUUGGUGUGGUAACGGCACACCAAGGCUACGAUCAGUAACUGGUCUGAGAGGAUGAUCAGUCACACUGGAACUGAGACACGGUCCAGACUCCUACGGGAGGCGGCAGUGAGGAAUAUUGGGCAAUGCUCGAAAGAGUGACCCAGCAACGCCGCGUGGAGGAUGAAGGUAUUCUAUAUCGUAAACUCCUGUGAGAGCAGACGAAAGACAGAUUAUUAAUCUGGAUGACUGUAUGCUCAGAGGAAGCCCCGGCUAACUACGUGCCAGCAGCCGCGGUAAUA